This is a long non-coding RNA of Hibiscus syriacus, 925 nucleotides long. RefSeq lists it as uncharacterized. The record is from RefSeq and is a predicted model, not a curated record. Lineage: Eukaryota; Viridiplantae; Streptophyta; Magnoliopsida; Malvales; Malvaceae. The transcript is spliced from 5 exons.
ACUGGAAUUCAUCAUUUUCUCAUCAACCAAACAGAAAAUUUCAGCCCAGAAAGCUUGAUUCUUUUCGUCGUUUUCUUCGAGGAUAUUCCGUCACCGCCAUCGGCUUCUUCCUCUAAGAAGAUCCGGCGCUGGUCGCCGUCAUCUCCUUCUUCUGUUCGUCCGCUAUCUGCUCUCAAUCACCUCCAAGCUCUCUUUCCUCGUAUGGACUUCGAGCUUCUGGAGAAUGCGGCAAUGAUAUAGACUCGGCUGUCAAGAGGCUGCAGGAACUUUGCUUAGGAGCGCCAGAGGCUAGAGGAGGAAAGACAUGUCUUGUUGAGGAAACGGGCACAACUGCCGAGCAGGGUAUAUUGACAAAUGAUGGAGAGGCUGCUGCUGCUGCUGUGACCGUUCAGAAUCCACCAGCCUCCGAAAAUUUGCCUGUUGAUGGUGCUGUUUGGGUGGGCUUGUUUGUGAGGGAGAUGAUGAGUGCUACAAGUAUGGAUGAUGCCAAAUCCUGUGCCUCUAUAUUGCUGGCGAUUUUGGAGAAUUCCAUAAGUAAACAGGCUGCUGAAGGGACAGCAUAAAGUUUUCACAAGGAAAAUAUCUUGUUAAAAGAACAAAUUGAAGCAUUGAUCCUAGAAAACACGGUCUUCAAACGUGCUGUUAUAUCCAACACGAACGACAAAAGGAGUAUCAGGAUAAAAACCAAGAGUUGCAACAUUUGAAGCAAUUGGUUUCACAGUAUCAGGAGCAGCUGCGGACUUUAGAGGUAAAAUAACUAUGCAUUGAUGAUGCAUUUGAAACAAGCACACUCAAGCAUAUAAUUAGCUUCUUAAUCUGUUUGCUUUUGUUGGUAUACUUGUGAAGAAUUAUGGUGCUUUGGUAAGGUGAUUUCGUUUAGAACCACUUCUCAGUUUGUUAAAUGAAAACACUUAUCAGUUUCAUA